GGGUGAUUAGCUCAGUUGGCUAGAGCAUCUCGUUUACACCGAGAGGGUCGGGGGUUCGAGUCCCUCAUCACCCACCA
RNAcentral lists this transfer RNA (77 nucleotides) under Candidatus Saccharibacteria bacterium RIFCSPHIGHO2_02_FULL_47_12. RNAcentral describes it as "tRNA-Val". It matches the Rfam family "tRNA". Rfam says of the family: Transfer RNA (tRNA) molecules are approximately 80 nucleotides in length. Their secondary structure includes four short double-helical elements and three loops (D, anti-codon, and T loops). RNAcentral also lists the same sequence under 14 other names. Lineage: Bacteria; Candidatus Saccharimonadota. The record is from RNAcentral.